CAGUAGCCGCGGUAAUACGGAGGGUGCAAGCGUUAAUCGGAAUUACUGGGCGUAAAGCGCACGCAGGCGGUUUGUUAAGUCAGAUGUGAAAUCCCCGGGCUUAACUUGGGAACUGCAUUUGAAACUGGCAAGCUAGAGUCUAGUAGAGGGGGGUGGAAUUCCAGGUGUAGCGGUGAAAUGCGUAGAGAUCUGGAGGAAUACCGGUGGCGAAGGCGGCCCCCUGGACAAAGACUGACGCUCAGGUGCGAAAGCGUGGGGAGCAAACAGGAUUAGAUACCCGUGUAGUCCCUGUCUCUUAUAC
Molecule: ribosomal RNA, 301 nt
Filed under: uncultured bacterium
Lineage: Bacteria
Description: partial 16S ribosomal RNA
Rfam family: Bacterial small subunit ribosomal RNA
Source: RNAcentral